This 464-nucleotide ribosomal RNA is filed under the name uncultured bacterium. RNAcentral's name for it is "partial 16S ribosomal RNA". It matches the Rfam family "Bacterial small subunit ribosomal RNA", at positions 29 to 507 of the family's 1533-position model. The record is from RNAcentral.
AUGCACGCUGGCGGCGUGCUUCACACAUGCCAGUCGCACGGAAAGGCUCCUGCUUGCAGGGGUACUCGAGUGGCGAACGGGUGAGUAACACGUGGGUGAUCUGCCCUGCACUUCGGGAUAAGCCUGGGAAACUGGGUCUAAUACCGGAUAGGACCACAUUUUGGAUGGUGUGGUGGAAAGUUUUUCGGUGUGGGAUGAGCUCGCGGCCUAUCAGCUUGUUGGUGGGGUAAUGGCCUACCAAGGCGUCGACGGGUAGCCGGCCUGAGAGGGUGUACGGCCACAUUGGGACUGAGAUACGGCCCAGACUCCUACGGGAGGCAGCAGUGGGGAAUAUUGCACAAUGGGCGCAAGCCUGAUGCAGCGACGCCGCGUGGGGGAUGACGGCCUUCGGGUUGUAAACUCCUUUCGCUAGGGACGAAGCGCAAGUGACGGUACCUGGAGAAGAAGCACCGGCUAACUACGUG